UGGGGAAUUUUGGACAAUGGGCGAAAGCCUGAUCCAGCAAUGCCGCGUGAGUGAAGAAGGCCUUCGGGUUGUAAAGCUCUUUUGUCAGGGAAGAAACGGUGGACUCUAAUACAGAUCACUAAUGACGGUACCUGAAGAAUAAGCACCGGCUAACUACGUGCCAGCAGCCGCGGUAAUACGUAGGGUGCAAGCGUUAAUCGGUAUUACUGGGCGUAAAGCGUGCGCAGGCGGUUUGGUAAGACAGAUGUGAAAUCCCCGGGCUCAACCUGGGAAUUGCAUUUGUGACUGCCCGGCUAGAGUGUGUCAGAGGGGGGUAGAAUUCCACGUGUAGCAGUGAAAUGCGUAGAGAUGUGGAGGAAUACCGAUGGCGAAGGCAGCCCCCUGGGAUAACACUGACGCUCAUGCACGAAAGCGUGGGGAGCAAACAGGAUUAGAUACCCUGGUAGUCCACGCCCUAAACGAUGUCUACUAGUUGUCGGGACUUAAUUGUCUUGGUAACGCAGCUAACGCGUGAAGUAGACCGCCUGGGGAGUACGGUCGCAAGAUUAA
Molecule: ribosomal RNA, 549 nt
Filed under: uncultured Herminiimonas sp.
Lineage: Bacteria; Pseudomonadati; Pseudomonadota; Betaproteobacteria; Burkholderiales; Oxalobacteraceae
Description: bacterial SSU rRNA
Rfam family: Bacterial small subunit ribosomal RNA
Source: RNAcentral